Molecule: ribosomal RNA, 468 nt
Filed under: uncultured bacterium
Lineage: Bacteria
Description: partial 16S ribosomal RNA
Rfam family: Bacterial small subunit ribosomal RNA
Source: RNAcentral
GACGAACGCUGGCGGCGUGCUUAACACAUGCAAGUCGAACGGAAAGGCCCUGCUUUUGUGGGGUGCUCGAGUGGCGAACGGGUGAGUAACACGUGAGUAACCUGCCCUUGACUUUGGGAUAACUUCAGGAAACUGGGGCUAAUACCGGAUAGGAGCUCCUGCUGCAUGGUGGGGGUUGGAAAGUUUCGGCGGUUGGGGAUGGACUCGCGGCUUAUCAGCUUGUUGGUGGGGUAGUGGCUUACCAAGGCUUUGACGGGUAGCCGGCCUGAGAGGGUGACCGGCCACAUGGGGACUGAGAUACGGCGCAGACUCCUACGGGAGGCAGCAGGGGGGAAUAUUGCACAAUGGGCGGAAGCCUGAGGCAGCAACGCCGCGUGCGGGAUGACGGCCUUCGGGUUGUAAACCGCUUUCGCCUGUGACGAAGCGUGAGUGACGGUAAUGGGUAAAGAAGCACCGGCUAACUACGUG